This 405-nucleotide ribosomal RNA is filed under the name uncultured bacterium. RNAcentral's name for it is "partial 16S ribosomal RNA". It matches the Rfam family "Bacterial small subunit ribosomal RNA", at positions 28 to 526 of the family's 1533-position model. The record is from RNAcentral.
GACGAACGCUGGCGGCGUGCUUAACACAUGCAAGUCGAGCGGCGCGGCGAACGGGUGAGUAACGCGUGAGUAACUGCCCCCCUCUCUUGGAUAACAGUUGUAAACGGCUGCUAAUACCGGAUAGUGGGGGGUGACUCGCGUCCUAUAAGCUUGUUGGUGGGGUAGUGGCCUACAAAGGCGACGACGGGUAGCUGGCCUGAGAGGGCGACCGGCCAAGUUGGGCUGAGAGACGGCCCAAACGCCUACGGGCGGCAGCAGUGGGGAAUAGUGCACAAUGGUGGAAACCCUGAUGAAGAAACGCCGCGGGCGGGAGGACGGCCUUCGGGUUGUAAACCGCUUUCAGCCAUGACGCGGUAGUGGCAGAAGAAGCACCGGCUAAAUACGUGCCAGCCGCCGCGGUAAUAC